AUAAGAUAACCUGAAGAUACUCUGACUACGAACAGAGAUGCUGUCUAAAGUAUACCAUUCUUUUAAAUGCAAAGCUAAAUUUGUAAAAGAAAGGGAACUGCCAGGACCUGGAGAACUGAAAACCAGAGUGGUCAGUGUCAACCAGCUGUGUCUGGGAGGUGUGUGAGUGGAUGGUUGCUCUUGAGUGUUCAUGUCCACGUAAGUGUGAGAAAUAAGACUUGGCCCCUGGAAACCCACUCCAGUACUCUUGCCUGGAAACUCCCAUGGAUGGAGGAGCCUAGUAGGCUGCAGUCCACGGGGCCGCUAGGAGUUGGAUACGACUGAGUAACUUCACUUUCACUUUUCACUUUCAUGCAUUGGAGAAGGAAAUGGCAACUCACUCCAGUGUUCUUGCCUGGAGAAUCCCAGGGACUGGGGGAGCCUGGUGGGCUGCCGUCUCCGGGGUUGCAGAGUCAGACACGACUGAAGUGACUUAGCAGCAGCAGCAGCAGCAGCAGCAGGAGCAGCAGCAGCAGCAUGCCUCAUAUGAAGAUGGAAAUAGAACUCCUUGCAGAAAGGUGGCGUUAUCUGAUAAAGAGAUUCCAUUGACUUUGGACCUAGAACUGUUGCUGUGGAGCAAGGGGAUUUGAGUUUAAGAAAACAAAAUUGUCUAUGAAUAUCUACGUGGUACUCAGCUUCCAUUGCAUACACACCAACUGCAGCACUUUUCCUGGAGUGACAACAUAGGAGAAUCUUCAGAGCAGGGUUUCUGCCGCCAAUACAGGAGAUGCAAGAGAUGUGGGUUCGAUCCCCAGGUCAGGAAGAUCCUCUGAAGAAGUAAAUGACAACCCACUCCAGUAUUCUUGCCUGGAAAAUCCCAUGGACAGAGGAGUCUGGCAGACUACAGUCCAUGGGGUUCACAAAGAGGCAGACAUGACUGAGCGCACGUGCACACACAGGGAUCUUCCCGACCCAGAGAUUGAACCCGGGUCUCCCACAUUGGAGGCAGACGCUUUAACCUCUGAGCCACCAGGCAGUAAACCUCUCCAAAGGACCCCCUGAAAAUCUGUUCAAGUAAAGUUAAAUUUAAUAAACUUACAGCAUUAAAGAGACUGCCAAAGUGUCAUAACAAUUUCUCAGAAGGGAAAGUCAGAGAGGAUAUAUAUAGAGCUUUAGGGCCCAAACGUGGAGGAGGGCAUGGCAACGCAAUCCAAUAUUCUUGGCUGGAAGAUCCCAUGGACAGAGGAGCCUGGUGGGCUACAGCCCAUAGGAUCACAAAGAGCUGGACACGACUGAGUGAUG
Molecule: long non-coding RNA, 1281 nt
Organism: Bos taurus (domestic cattle)
Lineage: Eukaryota; Metazoa; Chordata; Mammalia; Artiodactyla; Bovidae
Source: Ensembl